AUUGAACGCUGACGGCAGGCCUAACACAUGAAAGUCGAGCGGAGCGGCGGACGGGUGAGUAAUGCCUAGGAAUCUGCCUGGUCUUGGGGGAUAACGUACGGAAACGGGCGCUAAUACCGCAUACUAUCAGAUGAGACUAGGUCGGAUUAGCUAGUUGGUGGGGUAAAGGCCUACCAAGGCGACGCACCGUAACUGGUCUGAGAGGAUGAUCAGGCAACCUGGACUUGAGACACGGUCCAUACGCCUACGGUAGGAAGCAGUGGGGAAUAUUGGACAAUGGGCGAAAGCCUGAGCCAGCCAUGCCGCGUGUGUGAUGAAGGUCUUAGGAUUGUAAAGCACGUUAAGUUGGGAGGCGUUACCAACAGAAUAAGCACCGGCUAACUUCGUGCCAGCAGCCGCGGUAAUAC
Molecule: ribosomal RNA, 407 nt
Filed under: uncultured bacterium
Lineage: Bacteria
Description: partial 16S ribosomal RNA
Rfam family: Bacterial small subunit ribosomal RNA
Source: RNAcentral